Molecule: long non-coding RNA, 267 nt
Filed under: Bos taurus (domestic cattle)
Lineage: Eukaryota; Metazoa; Chordata; Mammalia; Artiodactyla; Bovidae
Description: long non-coding RNA NONBTAT011703
Source: RNAcentral
CUCCUUUCUCCAAGUGAGUCAUGAGAAUUGUGGGGUGCGAGUCCGCACUUGGUUGAGCGGAAGAAUCAGUCAGAAAGUGAUGUGAUGGGCUCUUCGUCCUGAAAGGAGAAGCAUUUCCAGACACCCUACUGCACUGCUUCACCUAUGUCCCGCCCGUGUGGAGGAUAAGCUCGGCCAUGGAGUGGAACUUGGCUGGCAGACUGUAAUCAGAGUUACAUUUUAAAAGAACUAUUUCCACAUUUUGAUAAGAAGCUGCUAGAGUAAAAG